AGAGUUUGAUCCUGGCUCAGGAUGAACGCUAGCGGCAGGCCUAACACAUGCAAGUCGAACGGUAACAGGGAAAAGCUUGCUUUUCCGCUGACGAGUGGCGCACGGGUGCGCAACGCGUAUAGAACCUACCCUGUACAGGGGGAUAGCCCGGAGAAAUCCGGAUUAAUACCCCGUGGUAAUUAGAAUCGGCAUCGGUUUUAAUUUAAAGUUUCGGCGGUACAGGAUGGCUAUGCGUCCUAUUAGUUAGAUGGUGAGGUAACGGCUUACCAUGGCAUCGAUAGGUAGGGGCCCUGAGAGGGGGAUCCCCCACACUGGUACUGAGACACGGACCAGACUCCUACGGGAGGCAGCAGUGAGGAAUAUUGGACAAUGGGCUCACGCCUGAUCCAGCCAUGCCGCGUGCAGGAAGAAAGCCCUAUGGGUUGUAAACUGCUUUUAUACGGGAAGAAUAAGGGACACGUGUGUCCUGGUGACGGUACCGUAAGAAUAAGGACCGGCUAACUCCGUGCCAGCAGCCGCGGUAAUACGGAGGGUCCGAGCGUUAUCCGGAAUUAUUGGGUUUAAA
Molecule: ribosomal RNA, 565 nt
Filed under: uncultured Bacteroidota bacterium
Lineage: Bacteria; Pseudomonadati; Bacteroidota
Description: bacterial SSU rRNA
Rfam family: Bacterial small subunit ribosomal RNA
Source: RNAcentral